This 483-nucleotide ribosomal RNA is filed under the name uncultured bacterium. RNAcentral describes it as "partial 16S ribosomal RNA". It matches the Rfam family "Bacterial small subunit ribosomal RNA", at positions 30 to 506 of the family's 1533-position model. The record is from RNAcentral.
AUUGAACGCUGGCGGCAGGCCUAACACAUGCAAGUCGAGCGGAUGAAGGGAGCUUGCUCCUGGAUUCAGCGGCGGACGGGUGAGUAAUGCCUAGGAAUCUGCCUGGUAGUGGGGGAUAACGUCCGGAAACGGGCGCUAAUACCGCAUACGUCCUGAGGGAGAAAGUGGGGGAUCUUCGGACCUCACGCUAUCAGAUGAGCCUAGGUCGGAUUAGCUAGUUGGGGGGGUAAAGGCCUACCAAGGCGACGAUCCGUAACUGGUCUGAGAGGAUGAUCAGUCACACUGGAACUGAGACACGGUCCAGACUCCUACGGGAGGCAGCAGUGGGGAAUAUUGGACAAUGGGCGAAAGCCUGAUCCAGCCAUGCCGCGUGUGUGAAGAAGGUCUUCGGAUUGUAAAGCACUUUAAGUUGGGAGGAAGGGCAGUAAGUUAAUACCUUGCUGUUUUGACGUUACCAACAGAAUAAGCACCGGCUAACUUCGU